GGUUGAGCUCGGAUCAG
Molecule: ribosomal RNA, 17 nt
Filed under: fungal endophyte sp. AP657
Lineage: Eukaryota; Fungi
Description: partial 28S ribosomal RNA
Source: RNAcentral